GCUUAUGUACAUGCCUACAAUGUUAAUGAACUAGAUUCCAUCAAUGCUCCUCAGUUAAGUGCACUUGGGCUAGAGUAGUACUGGGAUUGGUGACCUCACAAUAAGUCCUAGUGUUUUACGUGCC
Non-coding RNA from Picea glauca (white spruce), 124 nucleotides. Lineage: Eukaryota; Viridiplantae; Streptophyta; Pinopsida; Pinales; Pinaceae. The record is from Rfam.